This 301-nucleotide ribosomal RNA is filed under the name uncultured bacterium. Its description in RNAcentral is "partial 16S ribosomal RNA". It matches the Rfam family "Bacterial small subunit ribosomal RNA", at positions 509 to 809 of the family's 1533-position model. The record is from RNAcentral.
CAGUCGCCGCGGUAAAACGAAGGGUGCAAGCGUUAAUCGGAAUUACUGGGCGUAAAGCGUGCGUAGGCGGUUUGUUAAGUCUGUUGUGAAAUCCCCGGGCUCAACCUGGGAAUGGCAAUGGAUACUGGCAAGCUAGAGUGUGUCAGAGGAUGGUGGAAUUCCCGGUGUAGCGGUGAAAUGCGUAGAGAUCGGGAGGAACAUCAGUGGCGAAGGCGGCCAUCUGGGACAACACUGACGCUGAGGCACGAAAGCGUGGGGAGCAAACAGGAUUAGAUACCCCGGUAGUCCCUGUCUCUUAUAA